Molecule: transfer RNA, 73 nt
Filed under: Allium xinlongense
Lineage: Eukaryota; Viridiplantae; Streptophyta; Magnoliopsida; Asparagales; Amaryllidaceae
Description: partial tRNA-Leu
Source: RNAcentral
GAUAUUGCAUUUUCUUUGUUUUCUUUGAACCACUUAUAAAAAAAAGGAGAAUUACUAGUAAAUGAAGUAAAAC